This 855-nucleotide ribosomal RNA is filed under the name Massarina sp. BR386. Its description in RNAcentral is "eukaryotic LSU rRNA". It matches the Rfam family "Eukaryotic large subunit ribosomal RNA", at positions 68 to 940 of the family's 3401-position model. The record is from RNAcentral. Lineage: Eukaryota; Fungi; Ascomycota; Dothideomycetes; Pleosporales; Massarinaceae.
ACAGGGAUUGCCUCAGUAACGGCGAGUGAAGCGGCAACAGCUCAAAUUUGAAAUCUGGCCCCCUCGGGGUCCGAGUUGUAAUUUGCAGAGGGUGCUUUGGUGUUGGCGGCGGUCUAAGUUCCCUGGAACAGGACAUCGCAGAGGGUGAGAAUCCCGUAUGUGGUCGCCUGCCUUCGCCGUGUAAAGCCCCUUCGACGAGUCGAGUUGUUUGGGAAUGCAGCUCUAAAUGGGAGGUAAAUUUCUUCUAAAGCUAAAUACCGGCCAGAGACCGAUAGCGCACAAGUAGAGUGAUCGAAAGAUGAAAAGCACUUUGGAAAGAGAGUCAAACAGCACGUGAAAUUGUUGAAAGGGAAGCGCUUGCAGCCAGACUUGCCUGUAGUUGCUCACCCGGGCUCCUGCCCGGGGCACUCUUCUGCAGGCAGGCCAGCAUCAGUUUGGGCGGUCGGAUAAAGGGCUCUGACACGUACUUCCUCCUCGGAGGUUGACAUACAGGGGAGCCGCAAUGCGACCAGCCCGGACUGAGGUCCGCGCAUCUGCUAGGAUGCUGGCGUAAUGGCUGUAAGCGGCCCGUCUUGAAACACGGACCAAGGAGUCUAACAUCUAUGCGAGUGUUUGGGUGUCAAGCCCGAGCGCGCAAUGAAAGUGAACGGAGGUGGGAACCCCUCGGGGCGCACCAUCGACCGAUCCUGAUGUCUUCGGAUGGAUUUGAGUAAGAGCAUAGCUGUUGGGACCCGAAAGAUGGUGAACUAUGCUUGAAUAGGGUGAAGCCAGAGGAAACUCUGGUGGAGGCUCGCAGCGGUUCUGACGUGCAAAUCGAUCGUCAAAUUUGGGCAUAGGGGCGAAAGACUAAUCAAC